GUAUGUUCAUGAGUGUGACUAACAUGUAUAAGCAUGUAUAUGCAAUCAACAGAAUGUCCAUGAUGUAGAUAGUAAAAUGUCAUUGUUUACUAUUCUAGUCAAAGUCCAACUGGCAUGUUCUGUCACUAAGUUCCAAUCAUGUAAGACCCACCCGUAGGCUGUCUGGCCUGCGCCGUGCCUAAUGGCCCCGUGGUAGUCAACAUCCCCACUCUAGGAAUGAGCCUCCCCCACGGCAUCCUAUUUCGGCGCCCAAUCCCGCACGAGCGAGCAUAUGUCGCGAUGGCUAUCUCUGAAGUGCCGGCUUGUAGGGAGCGACCCUCACAGGCAUGUGCAAAUGAGCACAAUGACAAGCAAGCGAAAGAUCUGUCUCAAGUACCAAGUCCUCAUGUCUAAAAA
Molecule: long non-coding RNA, 396 nt
Filed under: Ananas comosus (pineapple)
Lineage: Eukaryota; Viridiplantae; Streptophyta; Magnoliopsida; Poales; Bromeliaceae
Description: long non-coding RNA (ACOM_LNC023410)
Source: RNAcentral